RNAcentral lists this ribosomal RNA (492 nucleotides) under uncultured bacterium. RNAcentral describes it as "partial 16S ribosomal RNA". It matches the Rfam family "Bacterial small subunit ribosomal RNA", at positions 29 to 507 of the family's 1533-position model. The record is from RNAcentral.
AGUGAACGCUGGCGGUAGGCCUAACACAUGCAAGUCGAACGGCCGCACAGUAAGAGCUUGCUCUUACGGGUGGCGAGUGGCGGACGGGUGAGGAAUACAUCGGAAUCUACUUUUUCGUGGGGGAUAACGUAGGGAAACUUACGCUAAUACCGCAUACGACCUACGGGUGAAAGCAGGGGAUCUUCGGACCUUGCGCGAUUGAAUGAGCCGAUGUCGGAUUAGCUAGUUGGCGGGGUAAAGGCCCACCAAGGCGACGAUCCGUAGCUGGUCUGAGAGGAUGAUCAGCCACCAUGGAACUGAGACACGGUCCAGACUCCUACGGGAGGCAGCAGUGGGGAAUAUUGGACAAUGGGCGCAAGCCUGAUCCAGCCAUACCGCGUGGGUGAAGAAGGCCUUCGGGUUGUAAAGCCCUUUUGUUGGGAAAGAAAAGCAGCAGGUUAAUACCCCGCUGUUCUGACGGUACCCAAAGAAUAAGCACCGGCUAACUUCGUG